This 419-nucleotide ribosomal RNA is filed under the name bacterium. RNAcentral describes it as "partial 16S ribosomal RNA". It matches the Rfam family "Bacterial small subunit ribosomal RNA", at positions 355 to 776 of the family's 1533-position model. The record is from RNAcentral.
UGGGGGAUAUUGCACAAUGGGCGAAAGCCUGAUGCAGCGACGCCGCGUGGGGGAUGAAGGCCUUCGGGUUGUAAACUUCUUUUGCUCUGAACAAGGCAUGCUAAUGGGUGUGUUGAGGGUAGGGGUUGAUUGGCGCCGGCUAACUACGUGCCAGCAGCCGCGGUAAUACGUAGGGCGCGAGCGUUGUCCGGAAUUAUUGGGCGUAAAGGGCUUGUAGGUGGCUGGUUGCGUCUGUCGUGAAAGCUCAUGGCUUAACUGUGGGUUUGCGGUGGGUACGGGCUGGCUUGAGUGCAGUAGGGGAGGCUGGAAUUCCUGGUGUAGCGGUGGAAUGCGCAGAUAUCAGGAGGAAUACCGGUGGCGAAGGCGGGUCUCUGGGCUGUUACUGACACUGAGGAGCGAAAGCAUGGGGAGCGAACAGG